AUACGGAGGGUGCGAGCGUUGUUCGGAAUUAUUGGGCGUAAAGAGCAUGUAGGCGGUCUGUUAAGUCUGGUGUGAAAGCCCGGGGCUCAACCCCGGAAGUGCAUUGGAUACUGGCAGACUUGAGUAUGGGAGAGGAAAGCGGAAUUCCGAGUGUAGGAGUGAAAUCCGUAGAUAUUCGGAGGAACACCAGUGGCGAAGGCGGCUUUCUGGACCAAUACUGACGCUGAGAUGCGAAAGCGUGGGGAGCGAACAGGAUUAGAUACCCCAGUAGUCC
RNAcentral lists this ribosomal RNA (274 nucleotides) under uncultured bacterium. Its description in RNAcentral is "partial 16S ribosomal RNA". It matches the Rfam family "Bacterial small subunit ribosomal RNA", at positions 523 to 796 of the family's 1533-position model. The record is from RNAcentral.